This 1749-nucleotide ribosomal RNA is filed under the name human gut metagenome. RNAcentral's name for it is "bacterial LSU rRNA". It matches the Rfam family "Bacterial large subunit ribosomal RNA", at positions 558 to 2301 of the family's 2925-position model. The record is from RNAcentral.
GUAUGUCUACAAGCAGUCGGAGCGAAAGCGACGGCGUGCCUAUUGAAGAAUGAACCAACGAGUUAUCUGCACUAGCGAGGUUAAGUGGAAGACACGGAGCCGUAGCGAAAGCGAGUCUGAAAAGGGCGACGAGUUAGUGUAGGUAGACCCGAAACCGCAGUGAUCUACCCAUGUCCAGGUUGAAGCGCAGGUAAAAAUGCGUGGAGGACCGAACCGGUGAGCGUUGAAAAGCUUUCGGAUGAGAUGUGGGUAGGGGUGAAAUUCCAAUCGAACGCGGAGAUAGCUGGUUCUCCCCGAAAUAGCUUUAGGGCUAGCCUCAGGUAGUAAGUAUAGGCGGUAGAGCACUGAUCGGGCUAGGGGCCAUAAAGGUUACCGAACCCUGUCAAACUCCGAAUGGAUAUACUGCAGAGCCUGGGAGUCAGACUACGAGUGAUAAGAUCCGUGGUCAAAAGGGAAACAGCCCAGACCACCGGCUAAGGUCCCAAAUGCCGUACUAAGUGGAAAAGGAUGUGGGGAUUCAUAAACAACCAGGAUGUUGGCUCAGAAGCAGCCACCAUUUAAAGAGUGCGUAAUAGCUCACUGGUCGAGAGUCCCUGCGCCGAAAAUUUCCGGGGCUAAAGUACGGAACCGAAGCCGUGGCUGUGCAUGUAAGUGCACGGGGUAGGGGAGCGUUGCCACAGGGGUGAAGCUGGUCUGGAAGGACUGGUGGACUUGUGGGAAGUGAGAAUGUUGGUAUGAGUAGCGAAAAGAAAGGUGAGAAUCCUUUCCACCGAAAGCAUAAGGAUUCCUGAGCAACGAUCGUCGUCUCAGGGUAAGUCGGGACCUAAUCCGAGGCAAAGAGCGUAGGAGAUGGACAACAGGUUGAUAUUCCUGUACCGGCAGCAAUUGUUUGAGCGAAGGAGUGACACAGAAGGGCAGGCAGGCGCGAGACUGGAUUGUCGCGUGCAAGCGUGUAGGGUAGUGUACAGGCAAAUCCGUACACUGAGGGCCUGAGGCGUUACGCGGAGCGAGCAGAGAUGCGAGCGAAGCUGCUGAUCCCACACUGUCGAGAAAAGCUUCUAGUGAGAGAGCUGCCGCCCGUACCGUAAACCGACACAGGUAUGCGGGGAGAGAAUCCUAAGGUGCGCGGGAGAACCCUCGUUAAGGAACUCGGCAAAAUGUACCCGUAACUUCGGGAUAAGGGUAGCCGUCUUGGUGAAGGAGCUUGCCUCUGGAGCUAAAGGCGGUCGCAGAGAAGAGGCCCAAGCGACUGUUUACCACAAACACAGGUGCCUGCUAAAGCGAAAGCUGACGUAUAGGUGCUGACACCUGCCCAGUGCUGGAAGGUUAAGGAAGGAUGUUCGGGCAACCAAAGCAUUCGACCGAAGCCCCAGUGAACGGCGGCCGUAACUAUAACGGUCCUAAGGUAGCGAAAUUCCUUGUCGGGUAAGUUCCGACCCGCACGAAAGGUGUAACGAUUUGGGCACUGUCUCAACGAGGGACCCGGUGAAAUUGAAAUACCUGUGAAGAUGCAGGUUACCCGCGACUGGACAGAAAGACCCCAUGGAGCUUUACUGUAACCUGACAUUGGGUUUUGUUGUAUUACGUACAGGAUAGGUGGGAGGCUUGGAAGGCUGGACGCUAGUCUGGCUGGAGCCGGCGUUGGGAUACCACCCUUGAUACAACGGAAUUCUAACCGAGAGAGUAACGAAAUCCGGGACAGUGUCAGGCGGGCAGUUUGACUGGGGCGGUCGCCUCCGAAAGAGUAAC